GCCCGUGGGGGGCGUGCUAAUACAUGCAAGUCGAACGAACUCUGGUAUUGAUUGGUGCUUGCAUCAUGAUUUACAUUUGAGUGAGUGGCGAACUGGUGAGUAACACGUGGGAAACCUGCCCAGAAGCGGGGGAUAACACCUGGAAACAGAUGCUAAUACCGCAUAACAACUUGGACCGCAUGGUCCGAGUUUGAAAGAUGGCUUCGGCUAUCACUUUUGGAUGGUCCCGCGGCGUAUUAGCUAGAUGGUGGGGUAACGGCUCACCAUGGCAAUGAUACGUAGCCGACCUGAGAGGGUAAUCGGCCACAUUGGGACUGAGACACGGCCCAAACUCCUACGGGAGGCAGCAGUAGGGAAUCUUCCACAAUGGACGAAAGUCUGAUGGAGCAACGCCGCGUGAGUGAAGAAGGGUUUCGGCUCGUAAAACUCUGUUGUUAAAGAAGAACAUAUCUGAGAGUAACUGUUCAGGUAUUGACGGUAUUUAACCAGAAAGCCACGGCUAACUACGUGCCAGCAGCCGCGGUAAUACGUAGGUGGCAAGCGUUGUCCGGAUUUAUUGGGCGUAAAGCGAGCGCAGGCGGUUUUUUAAGUCUGAUGUGAAAGCCUUCGGCUCAACCGAAGAAGUGCAUCGGAAACUGGGAAACUUGAGUGCAGAAGAGGACAGUGGAACUCCAUGUGUAGCGGUGAAAUGCGUAGAUAUAUGGAAGAACACCAGUGGCGAAGGCGGCUGUCUGGUCUGUAACUGACGCUGAGGCUCGAAAGUAUGGGUAGCAAACAGGAUUAGAUACCCUGGUAGUCCAUACCGUAAACGAUGAAUGCUAAGUGUUGGAGGGUUUCCGCCCUUCAGUGCUGCAGCUAACGCAUUAAGCAUUCCGCCUGGGGAGUACGGCCGCAAGGCUGAAACUCAAAGGAAUUGACGGGGGCCCGCACAAGCGGUGGAGCAUGUGGUUUAAUUCGAAGCUACGCGAAGAACCUUACCAGGUCUUGACAUACUAUGCAAAUCUAAGAGAUUAGACGUUCCCUUCGGGGACAUGGAUACAGGUGGUGCAUGGUUGUCGUCAGCUCGUGUCGUGAGAUGUUGGGUUAAGUCCCGCAACGAGCGCAACCCUUAUUAUCAGUUGCCAGCAUUAAGUUGGGCACUCUGGUGAGACUGCCGGUGACAAACCGGAGGAAGGUGGGGAUGACGUCAAAUCAUCAUGCCCCUUAUGACCUGGGCUACACACGUGCUACAAUGGAUGGUACAACGAGUUGCGAACUCGCGAGAGUAAGCUAAUCUCUUAAAGCCAUUCUCAGUUCGGAUUGUAGGCUGCAACUCGCCUACAUGAAGUCGGAAUCGCUAGUAAUCGCGGAUCAGCAUGCCGCGGUGAAUACGUUCCCGGGCCUUGUACACACCGCCCGUCACACACAUGAGAGUUUGUAACACCCAAAGUCGGUGGGGUAACCUUUUUAGGAACCAGCCGCCUAAAGGUGGGACCCAGGUAG
This 1482-nucleotide ribosomal RNA is filed under the name Lactiplantibacillus plantarum. RNAcentral describes it as "bacterial SSU rRNA". It matches the Rfam family "Bacterial small subunit ribosomal RNA". Lineage: Bacteria; Bacillati; Bacillota; Bacilli; Lactobacillales; Lactobacillaceae. The record is from RNAcentral.